UGGUAGGUGAUGCCCCGUUCUUUAGCGGC
This 29-nucleotide small RNA is filed under the name Bombyx mori (domestic silkworm). RNAcentral's name for it is "ovarian small RNA-35105". Lineage: Eukaryota; Metazoa; Arthropoda; Insecta; Lepidoptera; Bombycidae. The record is from RNAcentral.